RNAcentral lists this ribosomal RNA (395 nucleotides) under uncultured bacterium. RNAcentral's name for it is "bacterial SSU rRNA". It matches the Rfam family "Bacterial small subunit ribosomal RNA", at positions 505 to 898 of the family's 1533-position model. The record is from RNAcentral.
GUGUCAGCCGCCGCGGUAAUACGGAGGGCGCAAGCGUUGUUCGGAAUCAUUGGGCGUAAAGCGCGUGUAGGCGGCUUGGCAAGUCGGGUGUGAAAUCCCGGGGCUCAACCCCGGAACUGCAUUCGAAACUGCCUCGCUAGAGUCCCGGAGAGGAGGGCGGAAUUCCCGGUGUAGAGGUGAAAUUCGUAGAUAUCGGGAGGAACACCAGUGGCGAAGGCGGCCCUCUGGACGGUGACUGACGCUGAGAUGCGAAAGCGUGGGGAGCAAACAGGAUUAGAUACCCUGGUAGUCCACGCUGUAAACGUUGGGUGCUAGGUGUCGCGGGUAUUGACCCCUGCGGUGCCGACGCUAACGCAUUUAGCACCCCGCCUGGGGAGUACGGUCGCAAGGCUAAA